GGUGGAGAGUCGGGCAUGGAUAUAGUGGGGUUGGGGGGGUCAGAAUCUCUGAUCAUCAUUCGUUAAAAAACUAACAAAUUAAAAGUGACAGCAUAAACUUUUGUAAUGAAAUCUUGGGCACUGAUCCUUCUAUCUGAUAAUUUAUGGCAUAACCUUAGAAAGCAACAAGUGGAGUAACAUAAGGGGACAUGUUAAUAUCAAAUAUAUCUGCUCUGGUAGAGAACAUAUUAGGCACUUAACCAAUUGGGCCAUUGUGCUGAAAUCCAUGUAUUGAAAGCCUAAGUAUUUCUUGGGCUGACCCACGUGAGACAACCUCGACUUGCUAAGCUUAAUCACUCCAAAAAGCAAAUAUGUAUCCAUAGAUUC
Molecule: long non-coding RNA, 366 nt
Filed under: Elaeis guineensis (African oil palm)
Lineage: Eukaryota; Viridiplantae; Streptophyta; Magnoliopsida; Arecales; Arecaceae
Description: long non-coding RNA (EGUI_LNC012380)
Source: RNAcentral